AGUGAACGCUGGCGGUAGGCCUAACACAUGCAAGUCGAACGGCAGCACAGUAAGAGCUUGCUCUUACGGGUGGCGAGUGGCGGACGAGUGAGGAAUACAUCGGAAUCUACUUUUUCGUGGGGGAUAACGUAGGGAAACUUACGCUAAUACCGCAUACGACCUACGGGUGAAAGCAGGGGAUCUUCGGACCUUGCGCGAUUGAAUGAGCCGAUGUCGGAUUAGCUAGUUGGCGGGGUAAAGGCCCACCAAGGCGACGAUCCGUAGCUGGCCUGAGAGGAUGAUCAGCCACACUGGAACUGAGACACGGUCCAGACUCCGACGGGAGGCAGCAGUGGGGAAUAUUGGACAAUGGGCGAAAGCCUGAUCCAGCCAUACCGCGUGGGUGAAGAAGGCCUUCGGGUUGUAAAGCCCUUUUGUUGGGAAAGAAAAGCAGCAGGUUAAUACCCCGCUGUUCUGACGGUACCCAAAGAAUAAGCACCGGCUAACUUCGUG
This 492-nucleotide ribosomal RNA is filed under the name uncultured bacterium. RNAcentral describes it as "partial 16S ribosomal RNA". It matches the Rfam family "Bacterial small subunit ribosomal RNA", at positions 29 to 507 of the family's 1533-position model. The record is from RNAcentral.